UAAUUGGAUUUUUUGAAAUCCACCUGCAGUAGGAUAAAGGAGAUGU
Molecule: non-coding RNA, 46 nt
Organism: Trichomonas vaginalis G3
Lineage: Eukaryota; Parabasalia; Trichomonadida; Trichomonadidae
Source: Rfam